GAUGAACGCUAGCUACAGGCUUAACACAUGCAAGUCGAGGGGCAGCAUGGUCUUAGCUUGCUAAGGCCGAUGGCGACCGGCGCACGGGUGAGUAACACGUAUCCAACCUGCCGUCUACUCUUGGACAGCCUUCUGAAAGGAAGAUUAAUACAAGAUGGCAUCAUGAGUCCACAUGUUCACAUGAUUAAAGGUAUUCCGGUAGACGAUGGGGAUGCGUUCCAUUAGAUAGUAGGCGGGGUAACGGCCCACCUAGUCUUCGAUGGAUAGGGGUUCUGAGAGGAAGGUCCCCCACAUUGGAACUGAGACACGGUCCAAACUCCUACGGGAGGCAGCAGUGAGGAAUAUUGGUCAAUGGGCGAGAGCCUGAACCAGCCAAGUAGCGUGAAGGAUGACUGCCCUACGGGUUGUAAACUUCUUUUAUAAAGGAAUAAAGUCGGGUAUGGAUACCCGUUUGCAUGUACUUUAUGAAUAAGGAUCGGCUAACUCCGUGCCAGCAGCCGCGGUAAUACGGAGGAUCCGAGCGUUAUCCGGAUUUAUUGGGUUUAAAGGGAGCGUAGAUGGAUGUUUAAGUCAGUUGUGAAAGUUUGCGGCUCAACCGUAAAAUUGCAGUUGAUACUGGAUAUCUUGAGUGCAGUUGAGGCAGGCGGAAUUCGUGGUGUAGCGGUGAAAUGCUUAGAUAUCACGAAGAACUCCGAUUGCGAAGGCAGCCUGCUAAGCUGCAACUGACAUUGAGGCUCGAAAGUGUGGGUAUCAAACAGGAUUAGAUACCCUGGUAGUCCACACGGUAAACGAUGAAUACUCGCUGUUUGCGAUAUACAGCAAGCGGCCAAGCGAAAGCGUUAAGUAUUCCACCUGGGGAGUACGCCGGCAACGGUGAAACUCAAAGGAAUUGACGGGGGCCCGCACAAGCGGAGGAACAUGUGGUUUAAUUCGAUGAUACGCGAGGAACCUUACCCGGGCUUAAAUUGCAGAUGAAUUACGGUGAAAGCCGUAAGCCGCAAGGCAUCUGUGAAGGUGCUGCAUGGUUGUCGUCAGCUCGUGCCGUGAGGUGUCGGCUUAAGUGCCAUAACGAGCGCAACCCUUGUUGUCAGUUACUAACAGGUUCCGCUGAGGACUCUGACAAGACUGCCAUCGUAAGAUGUGAGGAAGGUGGGGAUGACGUCAAAUCAGCACGGCCCUUACGUCCGGGGCUACACACGUGUUACAAUGGGGGGUACAGAGGGCCGCUACCACGCGAGUGGAUGCCAAUCCCAAAAACCUCUCUCAGUUCGGACUGGAGUCUGCAACCCGACUCCACGAAGCUGGAUUCGCUAGUAAUCGCGCAUCAGCCACGGCGCGGUGAAUACGUUCCCGGGCCU
This 1358-nucleotide ribosomal RNA is filed under the name uncultured bacterium. RNAcentral describes it as "bacterial SSU rRNA". It matches the Rfam family "Bacterial small subunit ribosomal RNA", at positions 28 to 1381 of the family's 1533-position model. The record is from RNAcentral.